Molecule: long non-coding RNA, 695 nt
Organism: Panicum virgatum (switchgrass)
Lineage: Eukaryota; Viridiplantae; Streptophyta; Magnoliopsida; Poales; Poaceae
Exons: 2
Source: RefSeq, a predicted model, not a curated record
AUCACCCCUACGAGGCUACCAGUCGCCAUCCCCGAGGCCGUUCCUCUUAAGUCACUGACCACAGCCGCCGGCGAAGGAAGAAUAGCUGACCACAGACGCCCCGGAUUGAAGGCUCCCCCCCACCCCCCCGAAUUGAAGGCUCUCUCCCGGCCUCCCCCAAGAAAUGGAGGACAUCUGCGCUUCAGCUGGUUCGUCCUCUUACUAGCACGGCGAUAGACAAUCUUCUUGCUGGUCCAGCCGACGCAUCGCCGGCAAAUCUUCUUGCCGGUCCAGCCGACGCAUCGCCGGCAAAUCUUCUUGCCGGUCCAGCCGACGCAUCUUUGCUGGACCAUAUCCUCGCUGGACCGGUGCCCGGCUCAGAUCUUCGCGGUCUUUACCGGGUCGAUUGUCAGCUGCGGUUGACUGACUCUUGGCUGCUGCUAGCUGCUGUCUCUCUGCCUGCAUGGUUAGUGCCUUAGUGGUCAACUGGUCAUGAACUGAAGAUGGAAAUUCAAAGAUCAAAGUGUUCUGGUUCUGUUUCUGCCUGGUGCCUGUUAUUGGUGGUCUGCUUUAACGCUUGCUUUAUCUGUUCUUGGUGGUCUGUUGGGACUUGUCAGCCACUAUGUUUCAUGUUUGGUUCUGCUUUAACGCUUGCUUUCAUCUGUUCUGUGUGAUGUGGUUAUUUUAUUUGAAUCUGUACUGUGCAAUUUUUUUUA